AUCCCAGGGCUCCUGGACCUUUUCUGCAGCCACCUGCCAACCACCAUGCAGUAUGGCUUGGAGGAGGUCCUGAUGGAGGCGAUCUCCACCCUGGCCCAUCAGCACCUGGACACCAUUGUGAGCCACCUCCUCCACCAAUGGCUUCCGCUGGCCAGGUGGGUGCUGGUGUUCAGGCAGGGUUUUCGGUCCUUUGUGGAGGAGGCUUCCUUCCUCUCAGUCAUGCCAGCCCAUUCACUGGAGUGCUGAGCUUGCAUUUUGGGGAAGGCAGGGUGUUUGCUACACCGUGCAAUGAGACAAAACUCUGAUGAUGGAGGCCUUAACUGUAGGACGAAGGGUCAGGAGCGCUGGAGGGACUGAGUCUCCUUGAACCAUCUUGACUCUUGGGUUUGUCUUGUCUUUGGCUCUCAAAGAGACCCUAUUUGGGCAGAGAAAUCUUACCCCAAGCACACAGACCCUUGUCUCCAUCUUCUUCUGGAGGGCAGAGAACGAGCAGGGUUUGAAAACUCCUUGCCACAGUGUCUUAGGAUGUCGAGACAACUCCAACUGAUGAGUGCAAGGAGACGAGGAAGAGUUUUCCUGGUCCCUCAUUGAAGAUCUAGGCAACUCUGGCAAAGUCAUGGGUCGGAGGCAGGGGAGAUGCUGCCUGGGAGAUUCUAGUUCUCCUUUAAAAGUCAGUUCCCCAAGCACGGAGAAGGUGAGAACCAGAAGAGAAAAGGGGUCUCAGAUUGUCGGCUCUGUCCCACGUUGGUUUCUCACUGCCGGGAGUGACCAGCCCACCAGGGGCUCCUGGCAUCCCAUCUGCUGAAGGCAGAGUCUCGCUUCAGGCAGUCUCUGUAACUCUGGCCUUCUUUCCUUUAGUGGCACCAGCAGGAUCUGGAGGCACUUAGGUGGGGACCCAUCCCUAGCCUUGCUGAUCCUACCGAAGCUGCUGUCCUUCAUGACCCAGCUGUCCAUCCUGGGGACCAUCUCCUGCCCUGGCCGCGAAGAGCUUGAGGAGGAGGUGUGGGAAAAACACUUCAAGGCUACCUGUGCCAUGUAUGAAGUGCUCUUGGGGCUGCACAUGGAGGCGAUGGUGCAGAGCGUAUUUCCCCAGCUCCUGUACUGCCUCCCGGAGCAAGUGAAGUCCUGGGGCUCAUUUGGGGAUCCUGCGACUCGCCCAGAGGGCCUCCGCAUGUUGACCAGGUGCCUGCUGCAAACGGGCAUGCUCAAGGGUGUGCUCAUCCAGAGGGUCCUUCCCUGGAUGCAGUCAGAAUCACCAAAGCUCCGGCUCCUGGGAACCACGAUCUUGUGCUCAUCCAGAGGGUCCUUCCCUGGAUGCAGUCAGAAUCACCAAAGCUCCGGCUCCUGGGAACCACGAUCUUGGCAGAGGUAA
Molecule: long non-coding RNA, 1372 nt
Filed under: Pogona vitticeps (central bearded dragon)
Lineage: Eukaryota; Metazoa; Chordata; Lepidosauria; Squamata; Agamidae
Description: lncRNA (ENSPVIG00000014290.1)
Source: RNAcentral